UGGCUCACUCCGCGCGGUACAUCCGAUAAUUACCUACAGCGAAGCGCCCCGCCGGCGGGUAUUAUAUCAGUCGAGUGUCACGCGCGCGCCCCUCAGGACGCUGGCGUGCGUUGUAGUAUGAUUAUAAUUCUAUGAUCGAAGUAUUAUUUAAAAAUGGACAUAAAGAGAAAGAAAUAUUGUGCGGCGUUCGGGUGUUAAAAUUCGAAAAGAAAUCUACCGGGUUUAUCUUUUUUUUUCGCUUCCCAAAGAUGCUGAAAGGUAUGUUGGCCAUGUAGGUAAUCAAUAAUUCUUAGGAUAGUAUAGGAACCUAACCUACCAUGACUACUGCUCAGAAUUCGUUCGUUCGUUUCAGCCAAAUGACGUCCACUGCUGGACAAAGGCCUCUCCCAAGGUUUUCCAUAAUGAAUGCAUACUUACCUACAUACGUACCUCAUUACAAAUAAGUACCUAGAUUAAUUAUUUUUUCACUAGACAGCAACCCUAACAGCGUAAGAAGAGUUCAGAGGCACGCGAUAGAAAGAGACAAAACUUGUAGGUGAAUAAAAUUGUAGGUACGUAGUGCUGUGCGAGCUGAAUUCCACUGUAUCGCGUCGUAGCAAGACUCGCAUUUAUUUAAAUCGUCUUGCGGAGUAAUCCUUCUGUACCUGUACUAUUACUUAUUCUGUGGUAGUAGUCAUAAAUAAGACGCAAUAUGCUGAACAGCUGAAAGCGAACAAAAGUGAGCCUGUUUAAGUGUGAAAUUGAAAUUACAUAGAUGUGGUGUCAAGUUAUAAAAGCAGCCGCUGUCACAUUCUGGGCUGUAGCCAAGCAACCACGCGGAGACCGGACACGAUGAGGCUUGUGCUGAUUUGCUCCCUGGUCCUGCUGGCGUACGCCGCGACUGGAGCAAAUGCGUCCGCCAGCGCCGGCCCCGCGCCCCCCACGACGCCUGGGCCGUCUACGACGACCCCUAGCGUGACCACGACAACCCCUGCCGUCACCACCACGACUCCAGCCGUGACCACGACGACUCCAGCAGUGACCACGACGACUCCAGCGCCGACCACGACCACACGAGCAACAAGGAGACCGCGGCCGCGGUAUUUCUAAUUUCCUGACUGAUGCAGCAGGCCACAGUUCCAGCUACCCAUUUCCGUUUUUUCUCUCGCUCUCAUAAAAUAAAUCUUUGCGAUAGAACGCGACGACAUUAAAUGUCCCGGAAAUGGGUAGCUGGAACUGUGGUACAUAAUACCUAAUACAUUUUGGUAACUCACUACAAGAGAUGUUUUUUUUUGUUAAUCGAAGUUUUGUGUCAAAAUGAUCAUUAUUGUGUUAGAAAAAUAAAAGCAAUUGUUUCAGAAAAUGA
Long non-coding RNA from Ostrinia nubilalis (European corn borer), 1345 nucleotides. RefSeq lists it as uncharacterized. The record is from RefSeq and is a predicted model, not a curated record. NCBI's taxonomy places the organism in Eukaryota, Metazoa, Arthropoda, Insecta, Lepidoptera, Crambidae. The transcript is spliced from 2 exons.